AGAGCUCUCCUUGGGGGUGGAUGACAGAAUGAACAUUUACUCUGGGCUCACUGGAAAAGCUCCAACGUCUUGGAAAUUGAGUGGGUAAGCACAACCUUGAGCACAUUGUCAGCAUUCCAUUUCUUUUUUGAAUAAGAAUAUGCAGUUUUACCAAUAUCAUUGGUUCAAGAGGCUUUCCUUUCCCAGUUGUGUAUUCUUGGCACCUUUGUUGAAGAUCACUUGACUGUGUAUGUGUGCAUUUAGUUCUGGGCUCUCUUUUCUCUCCCAGGGGUUCUAAUGGGUGCCCUUAUGCUAGGACCAUGCUGUCUAAAUUUCUGUGGCUUUGUUGUAAAUUUGAAUCUUAUGAAUGUCUGUCCUCCAACACUAUUCUUUUUCAUGUUAUCAUGGCUAUUUGAGGCCAUGGGAAAAUUCAUAAAAAUAAUUUUAGGAUUAGCUUUUCCAUUUCUGCACACAUGGCCAUUACCAGUUCGAUAAUAGUUGUUUUGAGUCUGUAGAUCAUUUGUGUAAUAUUGUGUAUUAGUAAGAUUUAGACUUCCUAUCCAUGAAUACAGGAUGCCUUUUCACUUAUUUUUACCUUCUUUGCUUUCUUUCAGUAGUCUUUCUUUCUAAUCACUCUACAAGUAUUUCACCUCCUUGGUUAGGUUUAUUCCUAAGUAUUUAGUUAUUUUAGAUGUUAUUAUAAGUGGGAUUACAUUUGUCAUCUUCUUGUUGGAUCAUUCACUGUUGGUUUGUAUUAACAAACCAAUCAUUUGAAUAUUGGCCUUGUACCCUGCAACUUUGAUGUAAUUAUUAACACUAAUAGCAUUCUUGGAGAUUAUUUCUGAUUUUCUAUAUGUAGAAUGAUAGAGAAGUUCUGUUUCACACCUAUUUUCUCAAGAUAGUCUAUAUUGAUACUGUAAAGAUAUGUUCAUAUUCACCUACUGAAUGAUGUCCUUCCAAAAGGCCUUGUUAGAUUAUUCAAAAAAUAUUUUGUCAUUACAUUCCACAAUUUAAUAAAAAAUAGUAAUUCAUUGUC
RNAcentral lists this long non-coding RNA (1015 nucleotides) under Homo sapiens (human). Its description in RNAcentral is "novel transcript". Lineage: Eukaryota; Metazoa; Chordata; Mammalia; Primates; Hominidae. The record is from RNAcentral.